UCGGUGUCUGUGGAGAGAAGGGCUGAAGUGAAAGGGAAGAGAGCACCAAAGCUGGCCCCAAACGGGAGGGUGGUACUUGUGGGGCACACAGCACAGCUCUGUGGCUGACUUCAUGCCAGGACACCCCACUGGCUGAGGGCUGCCCACGAAUGGUAAACUGCAGCUGUGUUGGCUGGACAGAACCAUGGCCCUGUGUGAACUGCAAUGUGUCCCUACAGGCAGGCACAGGAUGAGCCGGAAGGGGUGUCCAGGAUCCCGGCAGCAUAGGAGACAAGCAGAGCGCUGGUCAUGCCUCUCCCUAGGGGCCUGCAGGGCAAGGCCAGAGAGACUGUCACCUGCUCUCUACCAGCAGCUGUGUGCAUGCAUUAGAGCCUGCCUGGAAGCCACUGGUGGGCAAGCAGCAUUGAGUGGGGUUUGGAGAGGGCACUGAGGGUCAGAGGGCCCGAAGGUGGCAUCCAAACAAAUAGGUUGGGGGCUGGGGGGAGCUAGGGAGGACCAAGAUGGGAACAGGCCUAGGCCAGCAGGGAUGUGAGGGGGCAGAUCCUGGGAGAGGCUGCAGUGUCAAGGCCUAGGGCAAUGAAGGGAUGGUGUGUGAAGGGGGCACCAAAGCUGUGUGAUGGGGGGCUGGGCAACCCUGACAAGACAAGAGAGGUUGGAGGCACACAGUGUUUGAGGGACCCUGGGCCAGCCAUGCCGUUUCCAAAGGGGGCAGGGAAAAUUCCUCAAAGAUUAUUUCCUUUCUGCUAGCUAGCAGCAUCUCCUCUCACUGCAGCUCUCGGAGCUGGAUCAGCAUGCUGUGGCCAUGCCCCCUCUGCUCCCGCUUGCUGCCAGAGGAAUAUUUCCAAGCGGUAAAACUGGAACAGCGUUAACAAAUAUUCCAGAGAUAAUGACAUUAUGUACAUUGAACCAAGGAAGACAAUCCUAUGGUAAAUAUUCCACUUAGUAUCCAACUCUGGCUCCUGAGCCAUCCAGGGUGGGGACAACUGUGGGAGACGAUGCUAGCAGAAAGCAAGUUAUUUCUACAAAAUUUUCUGUUCUGCAGCCCAGUGUCUCCCACAGUUCUGGCUGUCUGGAAAGUAGUGAGCAGAUGUAGGGAGGGUUAUGAAACAAAAGUUUGAUAGGAAAGUAUCCCCUACCCCUUUUGUGAACUUGCUCAAAAGUCUGUACUAUUUCUGAGCCACUGCCUGCAGCACCAUUCUGCCACAGGAGCCCCUGCAGAAGACAGAAGGCCCACCCUGUGGAGCUUAAUGAAGGUGUUAGCUGUAGACCAAGUGGCCACUUUGUAAAUUUCCAAAGCACUUGCUUAUCUCUCCCAUGAGGCUGCUAAGGAUCUCAUGGAGUGCACCUUGAUCCCUUCUGGGACUGGAGCCUCUGAGGAUUCAGGAUUCCACAAUACAUAGUCUGAUCCACCUAGCAAUGGAGGACUUCGAAGCUCUGAUUCUCUGGCAUUUCGAGUAGGACGACACAAAUUUGGAGCCCGAUCUUCUUGUGGAUUCUGCACAUUUGAGAGAUUUUCAAAGCUCUUCUGACAUUCCAGGUCUACCACAUCUUUGCCAUUGGAUAUUGUAGUUUUAGACAGAACAAAAGAAGCACAGCCUCUUGGGAAGUGUGGAAGGAGGAAUUUACCUUAGCAAGAAAGGAUGCUGGUGUCCCAAGCCCCACCUUGACCUCAUGGAGCACCCAGUAAGGCUCACAUGUGGAUAAGGCUGCCAGCUCCGACACUUGCCUGGCGGACAUGACAGUUACUAAGAACAAGUCUUAAGGAUAAAUGAAAGGCCGACACUGGAGUCAGAAGUUCAAAGGGAUGGCUGUCAGGGCCCUCAAAACUAGCAGUAGGUCCCAUGCUGGGAAGACUGGCCUGGCUGCUGGUCUGGCUAAUCGGACUGCUAGAAGGAAUCUGGCUACCUAUGGAUGGUCUGCAAGGAGGGCAAGGAUCCUACAAAUAGCACAAUAUUAAGAGCAGACACCUGACAUGAAAUGCAACAGAAGGUCCUGUGGCACCUUUAAGACUAACAGAAGUAUUGGGAGCAUAAGCUUUCAUGGCUCCAGAGGCCCUGGGCUGUUUGGGUCUCCAAGUGAGCUCCCCAGCCCUCCAAGCUGGCCUUGGUUGCGAGGAUUAAAGGAUCUGGAAGGCAGAUGGACAUACCUUUGCAGGCAUUAUCAUGGGCUGACCACCACUGUAAGGUGUUAAAUACCUAUGUUGGAACCCCUACUUGAUCUUUCAUGUGUUCCAGGGAAUGGUCCCACACCUUUAGUAUGAAGGCUUGAAGACGUCUGAUGAGCGAUUGUGCCCAUGGAGUGAUGCCUAUGCACAGUACCAUGAGUCCUAGCACAGCACAGUGCUAUGGUGGUUAUUCUGUUGGAUGGAACCAGAGACCUUUUCUUGGCACUGAUGAUGAAGCCGUGCCCCUGGAGGAGAUUCAACAUCCAAAAUGUGGUCCUCUGCACCGCUGGAGUUCUGAUUGGGAUGUUGUCGAGAAUAGAGUACAGGGGAGUUCUUUGCAACCUGAGUCUGGCUAUUACCACCAUCUGUGUAAAACCCUGGGGGCCAAAGACAGGCCAACCAGGAGCAUUCAGUACUCAUAACGUUUCCUGCUGUAGGUGAACCUCAGAAGUCUGUGGUGGCAUGAUCGGAUGGGGAUAUGGAGAUAUGCGUCUGCAAGAGGUACUGAAGUCAAGAAGUCCCUCUGGACAGGGAGGACACUCUACAGGCCAGGGUCUCCAUCAGAAGCAUUGUUUUCUUCAUCCACUUGUUCAGCCUUUUGAGGUUGAGAAUGGCUCUGAUACCAACUAUGUGCUUCUGCACAAUGAAGAUGGAGUACAACCUGGCAAACCUUUUUCUGAGGGAACAGUCUUGGUCAUGCCAAUAUCCAGAAGAUGAGAUAUUUCAUUCUGGAUCAAAUUGUUUUUUACAGGGUUGUUGAAACUAAGUGACUGGAUGAAGAAUGGAUGGGGUAGAGGCCACAGUUCGAGGGACUAUCCCUGACUCACUAUCACCCUGAUUAACUUCUCUGUGGUUAAAGAAAAACAUUCUUCUAGAAAAUGGGGAAUUCUGCCCCCUCGCUUCUCCCCUCGCUUCUUGUCAUAAAUUGGAUUUUAGGGGAGCUGAGGUCCCUCUGGACUUUCCCCAUGGAUUUUGACCCUACUGUUUUCCCUUGGGGAACCUGCUGUCCCUUCACAGGUACCUCUGUGAGGACAAGUAGCGAAAGGCCAGACUUCCACCUUAAUUUAAUUGAUUUGUUAGCACUGACCCCCCAUUUGGUAAGGCAACUCCCAUCUUUUCAUAUGCUGUAUAUUUAUACCGUUCUACUGUAUUUUCCACUCCAUGCACCUGAUGAAGUAGGUUUUAGCCCAUGAAAACUUAUGCCCAAAUAAAUUUGUUA
Long non-coding RNA from Trachemys scripta elegans, 3383 nucleotides. RefSeq lists it as uncharacterized. The record is from RefSeq and is a predicted model, not a curated record. The transcript is spliced from 3 exons. NCBI's taxonomy places the organism in Eukaryota, Metazoa, Chordata, Testudines, Emydidae.